RNAcentral lists this long non-coding RNA (599 nucleotides) under Pongo abelii (Sumatran orangutan). RNAcentral's name for it is "lincRNA". The record is from RNAcentral. Lineage: Eukaryota; Metazoa; Chordata; Mammalia; Primates; Hominidae.
GCACGCUUGCGCGCCGCCCGCUGCCUGCCGCGGCUGGGAGUCCGGAGCUUUUAGCUUGUGAUGGUUUCGGUUCGGCUGUCAGAUGGAGGGUAUGUCUACGUUGAAGACAGCUGGGGCUGCCGCACGCCUCGGGGUUACUGUCGGGCACCCGGCGGGCGGGGCCGGCGCUGGGGCGGGGGAGGGCUUCCUCGCCCUCAGAAACCACAUUCGCAGAAACGCUUUUAACUGGCAAGGUUUCGAGUUCCCAACCACAGCACCCUCAGUGAUGGUUUUCAGAAGACCUUGUUAGCUCCUCUGCUCCAGAGACCCAUCCUUCGCUGACAUCCCACCGAUUUGGGGGAAGGAAAAAACAGACUCCUGCAAAAUACCUCUUCUUCCAGUGCCCUGUACCCCUCUCUACUUACUUCGGGUCCCUGCAGCCCAGCAGCAACCCCAAACGAGUGAAGGGAGGAGACAUCGGUUUGUCCAGGCUCUGCUACCGACGGGUGAUUUGGGAUAAGUCCUUCUCCAGUAUCAUUAUUUUCAACUGUAAAACAUGAGGGUUAGUCCGAAUGAUCUCCAAACCCUUCAGCAUUAAAGUUAGGUGAUGAAUCCUAAGA